RNAcentral lists this transfer RNA (66 nucleotides) under Hypomecis punctinalis (pale oak beauty). RNAcentral describes it as "tRNA-Ile". The record is from RNAcentral. Lineage: Eukaryota; Metazoa; Arthropoda; Insecta; Lepidoptera; Geometridae.
AAUAAAGUGCCUGAUAAAAGGAUUAUUCUGAUAGGAUAAAUUAUGUAAACAAAUUUACCUUUAUUA